Molecule: ribosomal RNA, 252 nt
Filed under: uncultured bacterium
Lineage: Bacteria
Description: partial 16S ribosomal RNA
Rfam family: Bacterial small subunit ribosomal RNA
Source: RNAcentral
ACGGAGGUGGCAAGCGUUGUUCGGAUUUAUUGGGUGUAAAGGGUAUGUAGGUGGUUAUGUAAGUCGAGCGUGAAAUCCAUUGGCUCAACCAAUGAACUGCACUCGAAACUGCGUAACUUGAGUUCAGGAGAGGAAAGCGGAAUUCCCGGUGUAAGAGUGAAAUCUGUAGAGAUCGGGAGGAACACCAGUGGCGAAGGCGGCUUUCUGGACUGAUACUGACACUGAAAUACGAAAGCUAGGGGAGCAAACAGG